UACGUAGGGGGCAAGCGUUGUCCGGAUUUAUUGGGCGUAAAGGGCGUGUAGGUGGUUUCGUAAGUCUGGCGUGAAAUUUUUCGGCUUAACCGGGAAAGGUCGUCGGAUACUGCUGAACUAGAGGACGGUAGAGGCGUGUGGAAUUCCGGGUGUAGUGGUGAAAUGCGUAGAGAUCCGGAGGAACACCAGUGGCGAAGGCGACACGCUGGGCCGUACCUGACACUGAUGCGCGACAGCAUGGGGAGCAAACAGG
RNAcentral lists this ribosomal RNA (253 nucleotides) under uncultured bacterium. Its description in RNAcentral is "partial 16S ribosomal RNA". It matches the Rfam family "Bacterial small subunit ribosomal RNA", at positions 524 to 776 of the family's 1533-position model. The record is from RNAcentral.